Molecule: unclassified non-coding RNA, 328 nt
Filed under: soil metagenome
Description: partial contains 5.8S ribosomal RNA, internal transcribed spacer 2, and large subunit ribosomal RNA
Rfam family: 5.8S ribosomal RNA (bases 1-120)
Source: RNAcentral
GAUGAAGAACGCAGUGAAAUGCGAUAAGUAAUGUGAAUUGCAGAAUUCAGUGAAUCAUCGAAUCUUUGAACGCACAUUGCGCCCCUUGGUAUUCCGAGGGGCAUGCCCGUUCGAGCGUCAUUAUACCCCUCAAGCCUAGCUUGGUGUUGGGGCCUGCUGUUACCGGCAGCCCUUAAAAUCAGUGGCGGUGCCAUCUGGCUCUAAGCGUAGUAAUACUUCUCGCUACAGGGUCCCGGUGGAUGCUUGCCAUCAACCCCUAAUUUUCUAUGGUUGACCUCGGAUCGGGUAGGGAUACCCGCUGAACUUAAGCAUAUCAAUAAGCGGAGGA